AUGGCGGAGAAAGGAGGUGAAUCCGGCGGCGGCGGCCGCGGCCUAAAGGGGGAAGUAGGAAGAAAGAGAGGGGGGAUUUCCGUGCGCAUAACAGCCGACAGGGAGCCGCAAUAUGCCACGCCCCGGUCACCGAGCGCCAUCGCGCAGCCGCGGCGCGCUUCGCGUACUCCGCCCCGCGCCUCGCCCCCGCGGAGAUCUCGUCCCUCACCUCAGCGCACGCCGGCCACCGCCCCGCCAAGGACGAGCGGCGGUACCGAUACUGAUUGCUCCCAGAACGGGAGAUCGGUUCCAGAUAGGUCGAGAAAGAGGCAAGGGACGGCCGCUCUGGAUCAUGUCUACCCCAGUACGAGCGGCCGUACCGGGAGCUCCAAGAACAGGAGAUCGGUUAAAGACUACUCCAAAAACAUGAGGAUAGAUAACCUGGAUCAUUCAAGAACACCAAGUCUAGCUCCAAGGCGCCUUAGCUUCGAAGAAGAAGAACAGUGCGGUGUGUCCCCUGAAAACAUAAAUAGAGAGGUUGGCGUGUCAAAGAAUGACGUUCCUGCAAGAGAUAUGAUGGUCGGUGUUGAUUUGGAACGUCAAACCAUCUUGCCCAAAAUUUUUGGAUCCAGUGAGGUAAAGCAGCUGCUGCAUUCUAUCGAGAAGAUCAGUGAAUCGACAAGUAAUGGCAAGAACGACAAGGAUUUCCCUACAAGAAUGAAAACAUCUUUGGAAGCUUCAAAAGGUCGCAGGAAAUUAUCUAUGGAAGGGCCAAAAAAUCCAGGUGCAUUGAUAUGGCAGAAUGGAGAAAGUUCCUCCCAACCAGUGCUAGGGACUCUCAGUGUUGACUUGGAACAUCAAAUCAUCUUUCCCAAAAAAGGUGGAUCCAUUGAGGUAAAGCAACUGCAGAAUUCUGUUGAGAGGAUCAGCGAAUCGACAAGUGAUGACAAGAAGGAUCAGGAUUGCCCUACAAGAAUGUGCCUUAGCUUUGAGGAAGAAAAACAGUGCUAUGCAUCCCCUGAAAAGACGAUUAGAGAGGUUGAUGUACCAAGGAAUGGUGUUUCUGCAAGAGAUAUUGAGGUAAAACACCUGCUGAAUUCUAUCGAGAAGAUCAGUGAAUCGACAAGUAAUGCCAAGAAGGACAAGGAUUUCCCUAUAAGAAUGAAAACAUCUUUGGAAGCUUCAAAAGGUUGCAGGAAAUUAUCUAUGGAAGGGCAGUGGCCAAAAAAUGCAGGUGCUCAGUUGAUAUGGCAGAAUGGAGAAAGUUCCUCCCAACCAGUGCUAGGGACUCUCAGUGUUGACUUGGAACAUCAAAUCAUCUUUCCCAAAAAAGGUGGAUCCAUUGAGGUAAAGCAACUGCAGAAAUCUGUAGAGAAGAUCAGCGAAUCGACAAAGUAG
This 1377-nucleotide ribosomal RNA is filed under the name Triticum aestivum (bread wheat). Its description in RNAcentral is "partial small subunit ribosomal RNA". Lineage: Eukaryota; Viridiplantae; Streptophyta; Magnoliopsida; Poales; Poaceae. The record is from RNAcentral.